RNAcentral lists this transfer RNA (18 nucleotides) under Nostoc sp. 'Nephroma resupinatum cyanobiont'. RNAcentral's name for it is "partial tRNA-Leu". RNAcentral also lists the same sequence under 5 other names. The record is from RNAcentral. Lineage: Bacteria; Bacillati; Cyanobacteriota; Cyanophyceae; Nostocales; Nostocaceae.
GGUAGACGCUACGGACUU